This is a long non-coding RNA of Xiphophorus couchianus (Monterrey platyfish), 184 nucleotides long. RefSeq lists it as uncharacterized. NCBI's taxonomy places the organism in Eukaryota, Metazoa, Chordata, Actinopteri, Cyprinodontiformes, Poeciliidae. The record is from RefSeq and is a predicted model, not a curated record. The transcript has 3 exons.
CUCAGAUUGCGUCAGACACGCUGGAGAGCUCAGAGCUGACGGUUGCUUCCGUUAAUAGCCUAGAAGAUCUUAUUGAAUUAGACGAAGAAUCUUGGAAAUCGAAAAGCUUCCUUUGUGAGCGACUGAAGUCGGAAAAAUCCGUUGGUAGCGUCGGAGCAUCAGUGUGGUGCAGCAGAGGCACAUC